This 497-nucleotide ribosomal RNA is filed under the name uncultured bacterium. RNAcentral's name for it is "partial 16S ribosomal RNA". It matches the Rfam family "Bacterial small subunit ribosomal RNA", at positions 28 to 507 of the family's 1533-position model. The record is from RNAcentral.
GAUGAACGCUGGCGGCGUGCCUAAUACAUGCAAGUCGAGCGAACAGACGAGGAGCUUGCUCCUCUGACGUUAGCGGCGGACGGGUGAGUAACACGUGGAUAACCUACCUAUAAGACUGGGAUAACUACGGGAAACCGGAGCUAAUACCGGAUAAUAUAUUGAACCGCAUGGUUCAAUAGUGAAAGACGGUUUUGCUGUCACUUAUAGAUGGAUCCGCGCCGCAUUAGCUAGUUGGUAAGGUAACGGCUUACCAAGGCAACGAUGCGUAGCCGACCUGAGAGGGUGAUCGGCCACACUGGAACUGAGACACGGUCCAGACUCCUACGGGAGGCAGCAGUAGGGAAUCUUCCGCAAUGGGCGAAAGCUUGACGGAGCAACGCCGCGUGAGUGAUGAAGGUCUUCGGAUCGUAAAACUCUGUUAUUAGGGAAGAACAAAUGUGUAAGUAACUAUGCACGUCUUGACGGUACCUAAUCAGAAAGCCACGGCUAACUACGUG